RNAcentral lists this long non-coding RNA (2006 nucleotides) under Equus caballus (horse). RNAcentral's name for it is "lncRNA (ENSECAG00000050426.1)". The record is from RNAcentral. Lineage: Eukaryota; Metazoa; Chordata; Mammalia; Perissodactyla; Equidae.
GUGGGCUCAAUGUCAUCACAAGGGUCCUUAUAAGAGGGAGGUAAGAGGGUCAAAAUGAGAAAAAGGUGAUAUGACAACAGAAGUAGAAAGAGUUUGGAAGCUAGUUCACUGGAGGCUUUGAAGAUGGAGGAAGGGGCCAUGAGCCAGGAAUGAAAAGGGCUGGAAAAGGCAAAGAAAUGGAUUCUCUCCUGAAACCUCCAGAAGGAACCAGUUUUGCUGACCCCUUAACUUUGGCUGAAUGAGACUGAAUUUGGACUUAAGCUCUCCUGUACCAAAUGAUAGUUUUUGUUUUUCUCUGAUGCUUCCCUGAGAGCACUCGCAAUCGGCUACAGACUAGAGUGAGUGCCUUUGACAAAGAAGACCGGUCUCAGAGCCCUUUGGAAGAGGACUGCAUUAGGUAUUUUUGGGUGCAGGCUUCCGAUGGCCUCAUUUGAACAACUCUGAGACCAUACCAAUGGACUGAAUCAGGAUUUCUAGAAGUCUAAUCAAGACACAGAUGAGUUCAUGAGAGUGCCAACCCCAAAUCCAGUGGACCAAGAAUUAAUUACCUAGGACUGAAUGAAUGGAUCAGGGAUGACGGUGGCUUUUAUUUGGAAUAUUAUUGAUGUUGUUUCAGUGCUCUGUUUUCUGGAUAUAUAAGGAACCUCAUUCUCUUUUCUCUUAAGCUAUCUGUACCUCAUAACAAUUUGGUUGACACUGCUUUGCUAACCAUAAAUGAACCAUUUAUGACUAUUUCAUUCUCCCUCCUUGACUCCUCCAAAAUUCAGAAACUCUUAUGAGUAUUCUUAAUUUCAUAGCAAUAUAAUUAUUUGCAUAGGUUCAGUAAGAAUUUGUCUUCCUUAUUAACAGAACAGAAUUGGAAACAUUGGUUAUGCACUCAAGGCUUUGCCUGGGUUAUCACAUUUGAAAAUGACUCUCAUUUAAUCGGAAAUGAUCUGACACUUUUAAGGAACUAAGGUUGAUUUUAUGGAGCCAAUGGUUACCAAGCCCUAUUGGGAAAACUGUCCUGGUACCUGUCUUACAAAGUUCCCAGUCUUACAGAUAUAAUGCACCCUUCUAGCUUCUUAGACUCCCACCCUAUACAUUGCCUUGGAGCUUCUUGCACCUCCUUGUAAACUGCAGGUACCUGGUGACUGAGCAGACUGUCUUGUCUGAUGAGAUUUCAUUGACUUUCUUCCCUCUCCCCUCAUGGAAAAAACAGUUUUAGUACCUACCUUUAAACUGGACUGGAUCCUGUUGCCUUGUUUGAUUGUCAAUCCUUACCGGAUUUUCAAUUCUUGCAGUUCUGACUGCAAUCCUCCGAACUGACUUUCAAAUUUUCUUCCUCCUGCCUGCCCCAGCAUCACCAAGAACUGAAACUUGACUGCUCAGAUCCCUGUCAGCACUCCUGCUUACCUUGCAGCUGGCCUUUUCCCCCCGAGAAUCUGAAGAAGCUCUGGAGGCUGAAGCCCGGUGACUUGGCGUUAACCUCGAAGGAGCCAGCACUGCAGCAGACCGUGCACGGGCUGGAAUUCUCCCUGGACAAGCCACUGCCGGACCACUGAGGAAGUCCAGCAAAAUGUUCAGGUCAUGCAUGCCCUUGUAUGAGAGAGAGCCAAGACUGUGGACAACGCCACCAAGAGCAGGGACAUCUUAGCUUCAGGAAACUCCAAGAGUGGUGCUGCAAGACUUUCUUCAGCUGACCUCUGGAACCCACUGGACCAGUUAAUUCUCCACAUUCAACUCCUAGCUCUUUACUUCAAUACAACUUUUGUAGUAUUAUUUCUCUGUUUUAGGCAUCCCUCUUUUAAGAUGUCUGAUCUCCAGGACCCUAAAACAACUGACCUUAGCCACCACCUCUCAACAGAUGGUUCAACUGGUUUUAUAGAAACAACCAGCAAGAAUCCUAGGGAAAUUAUUUCUUAGGCCCUGCUUCAUCCCGCUCGAGAGAAAUGACAAACCAGCUAACCACGAAGGACCGCACUGCCCUCAGAGUUUCUAAGAGAAGUCUGAUCUACAUCUUUCCC